CCCCAGACUCCUACGGGAGGCAGCAGUGGGGGAUAUUGCACAAUGGGGGAAACCCUGAUGCAGCGACGCCGCGUGGGUGAAGAAGCGCCUCGGCGCGUAAAGCCCUGUCAGCAGGGAAGAAAAUGACGGUACCUGAAGAAGAAGCCCCGGCUAACUACGUGCCAGCAGCCGCGGUAAUACGUAGGGGGCAAGCGUUAUCCGGAUUUACUGGGUGUAAAGGGGGCGCAGACGGCGAUGCAAGCCAGGAGUGAAAGCCCGUGGCUCAACCGCGGAACCGCUUUGGAAACUGCGAGGCUGGAGUGCUGGAGAGGUAAGCGGAAUUCCUGGUGUAGCGGUGGAAUGCGUAGAUAUCAGGAGGAACACCGGUGGCGAAGGCGGCUUACUGGACAGUGACUGACGUUGAGGCUCGAAAGCGUGGGGAGCGAACAGGAUUAGAUACCCUGGUAG
This 447-nucleotide ribosomal RNA is filed under the name uncultured bacterium. Its description in RNAcentral is "bacterial SSU rRNA". It matches the Rfam family "Bacterial small subunit ribosomal RNA", at positions 329 to 793 of the family's 1533-position model. The record is from RNAcentral.